Molecule: long non-coding RNA, 2169 nt
Organism: Oncorhynchus tshawytscha (Chinook salmon)
Lineage: Eukaryota; Metazoa; Chordata; Actinopteri; Salmoniformes; Salmonidae
Source: Ensembl
CAUGAAGAUGUGGAGUAUGGAGAAACUCCCUAACGAAGAUGGAACCUUCCAGAAAAACGCCCACCAGUGCUCAAGUGGAAAAGCAACUAUCAAUGUGUAGUUCAGUUCACAAUAUACAGGCUCAAAUCGGCAGCACAGCAGGCCCAUUCAGAGUGAUGAAUGAAACCAGCUCCUGUGUUUGGAAAGCAGGGGUGUUUUCUAUGGAUACUGGAGGACUGUAAUGCAACUUGAAAGCGGCUAAUAUUGUGUGGAGAAAGAUGGACUGUGGGACUGCUGUAGCUGCAACUUACAGACCUCAGUUUGGAGGGAAGUGGAGGAUAGCAACAAGCAUGUAUUGAUUGCUAUGGUCAGGAUUCUACUCUUGAGAAGUGUACGUUAGUCUCACACGGAGAUGGUGUCUGAGCAUAAGCGUAAUUAUGCUAAUGUAAUCUGUUCAGAGUCUGAUGAUGUGAGGCUGGUGGGAGGAGGCAGUCGCUGCGUUGGUAGAGUGGAGUGGUACCAACAGGGAAAGAGGAAUAUGUAGCCUGUAAAAUAUGGCUGGAAAUUGAAGGAUGUCACUGAUUUUUUUGGUGUAGACAGCUGGACUGUGGCUCCACUGUUUCAAGACUACUUGGAAAACACACUGAAGGGUUUGAAGUGUACUGUAAUGGACCUGUGUUAUGGCUGGGUGCUGCUGGUGGAGAAGACAGGUGCAGGAGAGCAGAGAGUUCUGAACAGCACAUUUUAUUUGGCAGAAGAGAAUAACAGUAGGACGCAACUGCAUCAAAAAACCUCCAACCAAAAUAGGCAAAAGUGUAAAUGCUCCAAAAUAGACACAACUAUAUAAAGUUAACAAAGUAACAAUCUUCGUGUAAAGAAUAAACACGGAACAAACCAGCGUAACACAAAACAAUCCUACACAAAGACAUGAUGGGGAACAGAGGAAUAAAUACAUAUGAUGAUUGGGGAAUGAAAACCAGGUGUGCAGGGAACAAGACAAAACAAAUGGAUACAUGAAAAAUGGAGCGGCGAUGGCUAGAGAGCCGGUGACGUCGACCACCGAAUGCCGCCCGAACAAGGAGAGGAGCCGACUUCAGCGGAAGUUGUGACAACCUGAGCCUGCGCUUAGGGACUAUGGAAGAGGCACAGGGCUAACUUUGGUGACUAUAUUAAAGGUGAUCUGCUCAGAUCUCCCCCAUAAGCCUGAUAUCUCCCUGACCAUCUCAAUGGGAGGGGUCUCCAGGGGCCACCAAGGGACUCUAGAGGUGUUCAGGGGCCACAGCUUCACCAUCACCUGCUCCACUCAGCCACAGCACCCGGGUGUCUCCUUCCUCCUCACGUACCCUGACUCCAAAACAACCCAGACCUAGCCAGCUGUCUAUCACUCUGCUGCCUUCCUCUUUCCAUCUGCAGAUGACUCCCACCAAGGGAACUACAGCUGUGUUCAUGAGAUUUAUGUUUUUUUCCCAUGACUUCUCUUCUGAGAGUGAGCUCCUCUCCCUCACUGUCACAGCUUUCUACUGUUGGUGACAGCCAACUCCACCACCAAUCUGUACAUCAAGACCACCAAGAGGUCGAAGUGAGUGGAAGGGGUGAACUUGGAGAAGGUUUCUCUGAAGUCUAGAGCUGUAGUCGGACCAGGAGAGGAGAGAGCAGCCCAGGGUACAGAGUAGGGUGAACUUGGAGAAGGUUUCUCUGAAGUCUAGAGCUGUAGUCGGACCAGGAGAGGAGAGAGCAGCCCAGGGUACAGAGUAGGGUGAACUUGGAGAAGGUUUCUCUGAAGUCUAGAGCUGUAGUCGGACCAGGAGAGGAGAGAGCAGCCCAGGGUACAGAGUAGGGUGAAGUUGACUGAAAAGUCCAAGUGGGGUCCUUGGGAUGUCCAACUCUGAUGUUACCCCAUUGAAAUUGAAAGUUAAAAUGUUUUAAAUGUAGUUGAAAUCUAAAACAUUUAACGUUGUAAAAGGUUAAGAGUUAAGGGUUAAGGAUAAGGUUAGGGUUAUGGUUAUGGUAAGGUUUAGGGUAUCGAUGUCCCAAGGUUUCCGGGUGGCACUAACUGAAGUUGACCGUAGAGACGUUGACCUUAGGUCAGUUUUUUGUUUUCCAGAUAUGAUGCGACUGGUGUGGACUUGAGGGGACUUUAAUCCCCAUCCAAUCAAAUUAAAUGAGUGUUACGUUUCCAUUGGUGUUGCU